Molecule: ribosomal RNA, 253 nt
Filed under: uncultured bacterium
Lineage: Bacteria
Description: partial 16S ribosomal RNA
Rfam family: Bacterial small subunit ribosomal RNA
Source: RNAcentral
UACGUAGGGUGCAAGCGUUGUCCGGAAUCAUUGGGCGUAAAGCGCGCGUAGGCGGCCCUGUAAGUCCGUUGUGAAAGUCAAAGGCUCAACCUUUGAAAGCCGAUGGAUACUGCAGGGCUAGAGUCCGGAAGAGGCGAGUGGAAUUCCUGGUGUAGCGGUGAAAUGCGCAGAUAUCAGGAGGAACACCAAUUGCGAAGGCAGCUCGCUGGGACGUUACUGACGCUGAGACGCGAAAGCGUGGGGAGCAAACAGG